UCUGCUGCCGCCAACGCCGUCU
RNAcentral lists this unclassified non-coding RNA (22 nucleotides) under Chlamydomonas reinhardtii. RNAcentral's name for it is "small RNA Cre_2788". Lineage: Eukaryota; Viridiplantae; Chlorophyta; Chlorophyceae; Chlamydomonadales; Chlamydomonadaceae. The record is from RNAcentral.